ACGAUAGCUGGUUGCUCGUGAAAAGAAUAUUAGUUCCGCCUAAAAUUAAAGCCCCAACAUAUUAAUGCCUACUUUAGAGUAAUUCAAAUAGGGUACAGCUUAUUUGAAAAAGGACACAACCUAAGCUGGAGGGCAACUUGGCACUAUGCCUCAGACAAGUAGGCCUAAAAGCAGCCAUCUUUAAGAAUGCGUCAAAGCUUAACUAAUUCAACAUCGAUCCCACAAACGACACGCAGCCCCCUAUUAAUAACGAGCAAUUCUAUAUGCUAUAGAAAAUUUUAUGCUAAAACUAGUAACAAGAAGAAAUAACCCUUCUCUUUUAUACAAACAUAAACCGGCUUGGAUGACCCGCCGGCAAUUAACAGACAUGUAUGCUAAUGGCAACCCCCUCAAGAAAACCCCAUUUUCUCACACUGUUAACCUAACACAAGAGUAUAACAAGAAAGAUUAAAAGAGCAGGAAGGAACUCGGCAAACUAAAAUCCCGCCUGUUUACCAAAAACAUCGCCUCUUGACCAUAUAAGAGGUCCAGCCUGCCCAGUGAGCAAUUCAACGGCCGCGGUAUACUAACCGUGCGAAGGUAGCGCAAUCACUUGUUCCUUAAAUAGGGACCUGUAUGAACGGCAUCACGAGGAUUUAACUGUCUCCCUCCUCUAAUCUGUGAAACUAAUCUCCCUGUGAAAAAGCAGGGAUGAACCUAUAAGACGAGAAGACCCUAUGGAACUUCAAACAAAUGAUUACCGCUCCCCCACCCCCACCCCACUUUCCUGAAAACAGAUAUCAACGAGCACGCUAAUUAAGAGUUUUCGGUUGGGGUGACCACGGAGAAAACCUACCCUCCGUGAUGAACAUACUAAAUUGAUAACCACAAGCAACAGCUUUAAGCAUCAGUAAACUGACAUUAUUGACCCAAAUUUUUUGAUCAACGAACCAAGCUACCCUAGGGAUAACAGCGCAAUCUACUUUGAGAGUACAUAUCGACAAGUAGGCUUACGACCUCGAUGUUGGAUCAGGGUCCCCUGGUGGUGCAGCCGCUACUGAAGGUUCGUUUGUUCAACGAUUAAAAUCCUACGUGAUCUGAGUUCAGACCGGAGCAAUCCAGGUCGGUUUCUAUCUAUAAGAGGCCUCCCCUAGUACGAAAGGAUCGAGGAGGCAGGACCAAUGAAAAAUUCAAGUCCUACCGAACAACUUAUGCCUAAACCUCAACAAGACUAUUUGAC
Molecule: ribosomal RNA, 1219 nt
Filed under: Craugastor talamancae (Almirante robber frog)
Lineage: Eukaryota; Metazoa; Chordata; Amphibia; Anura; Craugastoridae
Description: partial large subunit ribosomal RNA
Rfam family: Bacterial large subunit ribosomal RNA
Source: RNAcentral